GAGAGGGGAGGAGGCAAGAGGGGCUUGUGUGAGGUAGGAGGUGGCUGUGGUGGUCUAGGGGCUGCAGCCUUGGGCUGGAGCUCGCCUGGCUUACUCUCUGUCCAUGCCACAGCCAGCUUUGCCUGGAGGAGAGCAUCUCUGCCAGUAGCUGUGCCACCGCCCCCAUCCUGGGUGCCCCAGCCUCAGGGGGAAGGAGCCCAGAGGGGUGCACGCAGGGGAAGGGCUGGUCUGGAGGCUGUGCUCAUCUGGCGUUUUUCUUUGGGAAGUAUCUGUUUCUAGGGGUGGUAAGGAAGGGCCAGAAGGUGCUGGCGGUGGCUCAGGGCACAGCGUCCGCCAGCGGAGGAGCUGUUUGCGGUAGGAGGCUGCUGCCAGGCUGCAGGCUCUGCCUGGGAGACUGCUCGGGACCUCGGGGCCGUGCUGAGGCUGCAGACCGAUGCUCUGUUGUCAGCAGCGGGGGCUCUCCCUGCUGCCUCGGCAUGAAAAACCUUUCAGCAACCACUGGACUUGAGCCGCCCCAGCCUGCCAGGAGCAGAAGCACAAACCGGGCAGCAGGAGGUGAUUUCCCAGCUGGACGGCCGUGA
RNAcentral lists this long non-coding RNA (581 nucleotides) under Anser brachyrhynchus (Pink-footed goose). Its description in RNAcentral is "lncRNA (ENSABRG00000001701.1)". Lineage: Eukaryota; Metazoa; Chordata; Aves; Anseriformes; Anatidae. The record is from RNAcentral.